GAUGAACGCUGGCGGCGUGCUUAAUACAUGCCAGUCGAGCGAACAGAGGCGGAGUUUGCUCCUGUGACGUUAGCGGCGGACGGGUGAGGAACACGUGGAUAACCUACCUAUCAGACUGGGAUAACUUCGGGAAACCGGAGCUACUACCGGAUGAUAUAUUGAACCGCAUGGUUCAAUAGUGAAAGACGGUUUUGCUGUCACUGAUAGAUGGAUCCGCGCCGGAUUAGCUAGUUGGUAAGGUAACGGCUUACCAAGGGAACGAUGCGUAUCCGACCUGUGAGAGUGUUCGCCCUCACUGGAGCUGAGACACGGUCCAGACUCCUCCGGGAGGGACCAGUAGGGAAUCUUCCGCAAUAGGCGAAAAACUGCCGGAGCAAGGCCGCGUGAGUGAUGAAGGUCUUCUGAUCGUAAAACUCUGUUUUUAGGGAAGAACAAAUCUGUAAGUAACUAGUCACGUUUUGACGAUACCGAAUCAGAAAGCCACGGCUAACUACGUG
RNAcentral lists this ribosomal RNA (497 nucleotides) under uncultured bacterium. Its description in RNAcentral is "partial 16S ribosomal RNA". It matches the Rfam family "Bacterial small subunit ribosomal RNA", at positions 28 to 507 of the family's 1533-position model. The record is from RNAcentral.